Molecule: ribosomal RNA, 376 nt
Filed under: uncultured bacterium
Lineage: Bacteria
Description: bacterial SSU rRNA
Rfam family: Bacterial small subunit ribosomal RNA
Source: RNAcentral
AUUGAACGCUGGCGGAAUGCCUAACACAUGCAAGUCGAGCGGGGUGUAGCAAUACACCUAGCGGCGGACGGGUGAGGAAUACAUAGGAAUCUACCUUUAAGUGGGGGAUAGCCCGGGGAAACCCGGAUUAAUACCGCAUGAUCUCGCAAGAGCAAAGCGGGGGACCGUAAGGCCCCGCGCUGAAAGAUGAGCCUAUGUCGGAUUAGCUAGUUGGCGGGGUAAAGCCCACCAAGGCGACGACCGUAGCUGGUCUGAGAGGACGAUCAGCCACACCGGAACUGAGACACGGUCCGGACUCCUACGGGAGGCAGCAGUGGGGAAUAUUGGACAAUGGGCGCAAGCCUGAUCCAGCAAUUCCGCGUGUGUGAAGAAGGCC